This 64-nucleotide transfer RNA is filed under the name Pseudabris przewalskyi. RNAcentral's name for it is "tRNA-Thr". It matches the Rfam family "tRNA". From Rfam's summary of the family: Transfer RNA (tRNA) molecules are approximately 80 nucleotides in length. Lineage: Eukaryota; Metazoa; Arthropoda; Insecta; Coleoptera; Meloidae. The record is from RNAcentral.
GUUUUUAUAAUUUAAUAGAAAAUAUUGGUCUUGUAAACCAAAAAUAAGAGUAACUUUAAAAACA